This 883-nucleotide ribosomal RNA is filed under the name uncultured bacterium. RNAcentral's name for it is "bacterial SSU rRNA". It matches the Rfam family "Bacterial small subunit ribosomal RNA", at positions 26 to 896 of the family's 1533-position model. The record is from RNAcentral.
AGAACGAACGCUGGCGGCGUGCUUAACACAUGCAAGUCGAACGCGAAAGUUUUCUUCGGAAAGCGAGUAGAGUGGCGCACGGGUGAGUAACGCGUAAGUAAUCUACCCUGGUAUCUGGGAUAACCCACCGAAAGGUGUGCUAAUACCGGAUACGCUGAUUUAUCAGGAAAGGUGGCCUCUUCAUGAAAGCUACUGUACCAGGAGGAGCUUGCGUACCAUUAGCUAGUUGGUAGGGUAAUGGCCUACCAAGGCGACGAUGGUUAGCGGGUCUGAGAGGAUGAUCCGCCACACUGGAACUGGAACACGGACCAGACUCCUACGGGAGGCAGCAGUGAGGAAUAUUGCGCAAUGGGGGAAACCCUGACGCAGCGACGCCGCGUGGAUGAUGAAGGCCUUCGGGUCGUAAAAUCCUGUCAGAUGGAAAGAAAUGUAUGGAGGUUAAUAUCCUUUAUAUUUGACGGUACCAUCAAAGGAAGCACCGGCUAACUCCGUGCCAGCAGCCGCGGUAAUACGGAGGGUGCAAGCGUUGUUCGGAAUUACUGGGCGUAAAGCGCGCGUAGGCGGCUUUUUAAGUCAGAUGUGAAAGUCCACGGCUCAACCGUGGAAGUGCAUUUGAAACUGGGAAGCAUGAGUACUGGAGGGGGUGGUGGAAUUCCCGGUGUAGAGGUGAAAUUCGUAGAUAUCGGGAGGAAUACCGGUGGCGAAGGCGACCACCUGGCCAGAUACUGACGCUGAGGUGCGAAAGCGUGGGGAGCAAACAGGAUUAGAUACCCUGGUAGUCCACGCCGUAAACGAUGUCAACUAGGUGUUGGGGAGGUUAAUCUUCUCAUUGCCGCAGCUAACGCAUUAAGUUGACCGCCUGGGGAGUACGGUCGCAAGAUUA